ACCAUGAUCACCCAUCCUUAUUCGCAGUGAUUGAAAUCAAAUCGUGUACAGGUACCCUUUGAACCUCCUCGGUAAUUUUUUGUAACACCAAUCUAUCACCAAAAACGUAGAUACCGCUGGUCGAAUCUGUUUGGACUUGCUCAAGAUGCCACCGAAAGGCAGUUGGAAGCCAACCAUAACCCUCGAAGGACUUCUAAUCGCUUUGCAGAGUUUGAUGACCAAUCCAACCUGGACCCUCUAAUGGUCAACAUCGCGGAAGAGUACAAAUAUAAUCUGCCAGAA
This 282-nucleotide long non-coding RNA is filed under the name Bemisia tabaci. Its description in RNAcentral is "lncRNA ENSSSA1NGG000522". The record is from RNAcentral. Lineage: Eukaryota; Metazoa; Arthropoda; Insecta; Hemiptera; Aleyrodidae.